GAUGAACGCUAGCUACAGGCUUAACACAUGCAAGUCGAGGGGUAACGAGAGGAAAGCUUGCUUUCCUUGUCGACGACCGGCGCACGGGUGAGUAACGCGUAUCCAACCUGCCUCCAACUAGGGAAUAACCUUGCGAAAGUAAGACUAAUACCCUAUAAUUUCCUCAGAUGACAUCUGACGAGGAAUAAAGAUUUAUCGGUUGUGGAUGGGGAUGCGUCUGAUUAGCUUGUUGGCGGGGUAACGGCCCACCAAGGCAACGAUCAGUAGGGGUUCUGAGAGGAAGGGCCCCCGCAUUGGAACUGAGACACGGUCCAAAAUCCUAGGGGAGGCAGCAGUGAGGAAUAUUGGUCAAUGGGAGGAAGCCUGAACCAGCCAAGUAGCGUGCAGGAUGGCGGACCUAUGGGUUGUAAACUGCUUUUAUACAGGAAUAAAGUUAGCCACGUGUGGUUAUUUGUAGGUACUGUAUGAAUAAGGACCGGCUAAUUCCGUGCCAGCAGCCGCCGUAA
This 506-nucleotide ribosomal RNA is filed under the name uncultured bacterium. Its description in RNAcentral is "partial 16S ribosomal RNA". It matches the Rfam family "Bacterial small subunit ribosomal RNA", at positions 28 to 523 of the family's 1533-position model. The record is from RNAcentral.